This 4445-nucleotide long non-coding RNA is filed under the name Malus domestica (apple). RNAcentral's name for it is "long non-coding RNA (MDOM_LNC018397)". Lineage: Eukaryota; Viridiplantae; Streptophyta; Magnoliopsida; Rosales; Rosaceae. The record is from RNAcentral.
AAACUGCCUUAAAACCACUUUCUGGGCAGUUUUGAGUACCUAACACUAAUUUGGACGAAAUUGGACUAUAACUUGACUCAAAGCACUUAAAAACACAAACUAAAUUGAUUUCUAACUAAUCUAACACUUUAAAAUCAUGGGGGAAUGAUUUUGACGAAAAUUGAAACUUUAAAACUUAAACUUUGAAAACAAACUUAAAGCAAAACAGAUUGUGAUGAAAUAGAAUGGUGAGAAACUAGUUAGAGGGUUCCUUAUCCACACAUGAACAUAUGCAUACGAUUCAAUUUCCAAUUACUCUUUCAACAAACCAUGAAUGACAAUGCCCCAAAUUAACUAGAUUGCACCAAUUAAUUCUCAGAUUUCCCUAGAUUCAUUGAAUUGAAUGGAAUACGCAUUACAACCAAAUUAUUCUUAUCAAGGACCCUAACUAUGGAAUACGCAUGAUAGAGACACAUAUCAAAGAUCAUUCAGUUUAAUGGAAAUCAUAAGCAUUGACGAGGCAUUCAUAACUAUGGGAUACGCAUGUUACUCUUGCCUAGGAUUUACUUAACACAAUCGUGACUAGCGACUUUCACUACUUAUGAAUAUAAGUUAAUAACGAUUAGGUGAAAUUCCCUUAUAUCCUAGCAUCGAGUUUAUGCAUGCAAAUUAAGUGUCGACCCUCAACCCACAUACAUAAACAAGUUAUCAAUCAAAUAGAUAAGUAAACCACAUUCACGAUUUAUGAAAUCAUAAUUGGAAGAAAUCAAAUCAUAUAAAACAUAUGUCCAUGGCUUCAAAUUCGCCUCUAACUAAAAAGGAAUUAGUUCCACAUGUUUAACAUAAUUGAAAAGCAAUUUAAAUUAAACAUGAAAACAGAAACAAGAGAAGAAAAAACUCUUAAAACUCCCUUAGAUGCAGAUGACUUGCGCACAAGGCCCUCAUUCAUCAACGGAAUGCACGACAAGGCUCUCCUUCUUCUCCAAAAGGUGCGGCAGAGAUGUGUAUGGAUGUAGGAUGCGGUUUUGUGAUGUAGAAUGGUGUUUAGGGUUGCGGCAAGGUGUGUUUGAAUGGUGUGAAGGGGUGGUCACGAAUUUAGGCUUAAAACACAUAUAUAUAGGCACCACAAACCCUAAAGAAAUCAGGUUAGACAAUGGGCUAGGGUUAGAGAUGGGCCUUCUAGAAUGCCUUGCAAGGCAAGGAAAUAGGUGUUCUAGAAGGCUAGGUGCGGCUGAUUAGUGGGCUAGGGUUAGGGUUUGUAGAUAGGGCUUCUAGAAAGUGAUGCGAAAUAGAUAAGCACACAAUUAAACCCUCUUUUUGUCAAAUUGUAGCAAAGAUGUAAGUAGGGAUCGUUCUAAACCGGGGAUUAGGAGGGAUUGCUAAACACUUGAAAACUGACUCAAUAAUGUAAAAACAAAGUUAAAACACUAAACUAGACUCAAAGAAUGUAAAAUUAAAAGUUAAAACACCAAAACAAGGUAAAGGAACCAAAACAGCAAAUAAACACUCAAAACUGCCUUAGAAGCACAAUCUGGGCAGUUUUGAGUACUAACACAAAUUUGGACGAAUUUAUGUUAUAACUUGACUCAAAACACUAGAAAACAUAAACUAACACACUUUCUAACUAAUCUAAGACUCUAAAAUAAAGGGGGAUUUUGUUUUGACGAAAAUUAAAAUAAAGAAAACAGAUUGGAAAUAGGGCAGAUUGUAAAAAUGAUUUUUGUGAAAUAGAUGGGUAGAAGGCUAGUUAGGAGGUUCUUCUCCACACAUGUCACACUUGCAAACAAAACGAUUUUCAGUUGUUCUUCCAAUAAAUUAUGAAACUCAACACCCCCAAGUUAAUUAGAUACGCUUAAAUCAACCUUCAAGUUCUCCUUAAGUUAAUGAAUUGGAUGGGAAAGCGCAUACAACAAUUCAAAGCAUUCCUCAAGGGUUCCUUACGUGAUGAGCACAAUAAAGAUACAAUCAAGAAUCAUGAAGCACAAUGAGAACUAUAAGUGUUGACGAGGCAUUCGUUACUAUGAUGAGCAUGAAACUAGUGCCAAGAAUUCAUUCAACGCGAUCGUUUUCAAGCGACCUUCACUACUUGUGAUUAUAAGAUUGUAACUAUUAGGUGAAACUCCCUUAUAAUCUAGCAUCAUAUUCAUGCAUGAAAACUAAGUGUGCACUCUCAAUCAACAUACACAAAUAAGUUAUCAAUCAAGUAGAUGAACGAAUUGACUUCACAACUUAUGAAAUAACAAUUGAAUGUAAUCAAAUCAUAUUGCAAGCAUGUACAUGGUUUCAAAUCACCCCCCAACUAAGGGGGUUUAGUUCCUCAUACUCACAACACAAAGUUUAUUGAAUUGAAAUAUUGAAAACAUAAGAAAGAUUACACCUAAAAGUUCCAGCAAUCUGCAAUAGACUAGCAAGCACAUUCAAGGGCACUCCUUCUUCCUUCUUGCUGCGGCAUAAGGUAUGGAGGAGGCUUGGGAUGGUUUUGGAUGAGGUAGAAUGGUAGAAAAGUGUCUAGGAUGGGUGUAUGGCACGGCUAGGGGGGUUUGGGGUCAGAAAAUAUGGAUUUGGGUGAAGGUUGGGCACGGCAAAGGUAGGGGAAAGGUUUCUGGCGUGAAUGGAGUUGUGUGGAUGUGUGUGGAAUGUUUUGUGGCUGCAACAAGGAGGUUUAUUUAAAGGAAAACAGAAAUUAAAACCCUAGGUUGAUUAGGAAAUCAGAAAUUAAGUCUAAGGAUUCUAGAAUUAGGAAACAAAUCAGAAAAUAAAAGGAAAGGUCAAGGAAAUAUGCGGCUAGGGUUUAAAACAUAUUAGGAAUGUGUUUUAAUGCUCAAAAUCAGGAAAGGACCCUCUCCCUUGCACGGCAAGGAAGAGGAAGUUGUGGAAAGGGUAUGUGAGGUGCGGCAAGGGUUGAUAUGGUGGAAGGGAGGUGUAUUUGAUGUCCUAAAAUGCUUAGGAGGCCUUCAAAGUUGAUAAGACUUAGGAACAUUUAGGAAAGGUCAAACCAAAGUAGGAAACCUUGGCUUAACUUUCCUAUUUCAAGUAGGAAUCCUUCUUGGAGUAGGAAUCCUUGUUCUUCUAAGAAUCCUCAUGUGAGUAGGAAUCCAUCUUCAAUUGGGAAUUCUCAAAUAAGUAGGAAUCCUUCUUCAAUUAGGAAUCCUUUGUUGAUUAGGAAUCCUUCUUGGAUUAGGAAACCAACUUUCUUCAAGACUUUAAUUCAUCCAUUCCUUUUGCUCCAAAAGGCUCCAUUUUGCUUCUUUUUGCACACUUUGACCUUAGAACCUGAAAACACACAAAAGUGACUUUAAACACUAAAAUAGCUAAGUAACAUAACCUAAGUGCACGAGAACAAGCCAAUUAAGUAGCAUAAAUAUGCUCCUAUCAGAAAGCCCAAAACCAAGAAUAGAAACUCUCGAAAAUGGAAACCUCUAAGAAUAGAAACUUCCAACUUUAGAAACUUUGGUUGCCAAUUCCGACUUCUUUGUUCUUCACUUUUAUUUCUUCAUUUCUUAAGCUCCUUUGACCUUCAAACUCGUCCAUUCCUUGUGCUCCAUAAGCAUACACUCCAUUCCAGCUCAAUUUUGCUCUCAAAUGCUCCAAAUUGCAUCAUUUUAUGUAAUAUGCUCUUAAAACCUGAAAACACAUGAAACUAACUUAAAAGACUACUUUAAACUAAGAAAACAUAACUAAAAUGCAUAAGUACUAGCUAACUAAGGCGCAUAAAUAUGCUCCUAUCAGAAAUGUAAGUUGAUGAGUAAGACGUCUAAAGUAUUUACCUCCUUAGAUUUGAUCCAAGGAAAAAGAAAGACUUUAGAUGAGUCUCCUUGGAAGAUAUCAAGGAAAGAAGCGUCAUAAGAUAAUGAAUUUCUCCAUUAAGGAGAAAAACGAACUCGAAUAAGAUUUAGUUCGUUAGAUGUUAUCUAUUACCCAUAUAUAGGAUAUAUACUUCUAAAACAAUAUGAUUGUCAAUUAGAAGAUCUUCCAAAUUUUUUAUGACUCCAUAAGAUGUAGUUGGAAAGAAAGACAAAUCUUAAGCAUGUUAAGAUUUGGGGUUGUGUGCUAAUUAGCAAUAUUUGUUUGAUAACAAUCUUGUGGGAUAUCCUUAAAUUAACUUUUGGAUAUCGCUUCUAUAAACCAACUAACAAAUGUUGUUUUGUUGGGUAGUUCAUUGUAAUCCUACAAUGUGAUUUGCCUAAGAGCUAAUGAACGAGAGAUAGAACUCAAAGGAUGGGUUCUUUGAGAGAUAAGAAAGUAAUCAACAAAUAUAACAACCUAGUUCCUAUACCAAAGGCUCCAAGGUAGUCGAGAAGGAUUUAUGAACCGUCUCAGUUGAAUGGUUUGAACUUUAUGACUAUGUCAUAGAGUUGCACCUCUUAAUUCGAAAGAAAUAAGAAUGAAAAUCCUUAUAACUACAUUGAGUGUAUAUAUGAUAUAUACUCAAGGAAAUGGUAAAGUACCAUUUGACCCGAAAUAAU